GGCGUAGGGGGUAUUGACCCCUCCUGUGCUGUAGCUAACGCGUUAAGUUGACCGCCUGGGGACUACGGCCGCAAGGCUAAAACUCAAAGGAAUUGACGGGGACCCGCACAAGCAGCGGAGCGUGUGGUUUAAUUCGAGGCUACGCGAAGAACCUUACCAGGGUUUGACAUCACGGUGGUAGAGAUCCGAAAGGUGAUCGACCCUUCGGGGAGCCGUGACAGGUGCUGCAUGGCUGUCGUCAGCUCGUGCCGUGAGGUGUUAGGUUAAGUCCUGUAACGAGCGCAACCCACGUCGUUAGUUACAUGUGUCUAACGAGACUGCCGGUGAUAAGCCGGAGGAAGGUGUGGAUGACGUCAAGUCAGCAUGGCCUUUAUAUCCUGGGCUACACACACGCUACAAUGGCCGGUACAAUGGGCAGCGAAACCGCGAGGUGAAGCCAAUCCUCCAAAGCCGGUCUCAGUUCGGAUUGUAGGCUGCAACUCGCCUGCAUGAAGUCGGAGUUGCUAGUAAACGUGCGUCAGCAACAGCGCGUUGAAUACGUUCCCGGGUCUUGUACACACCGCCCGUCACGUCAUGGAAGUUGGCAACGCCUGAAGUCGCUGGGCUAACCCUAACGGGAGGCAGGCGCCCAAGGCGGGGUCGGUAACUGGGACGAAGUCGUAACAAGGUAGCCG
Molecule: ribosomal RNA, 674 nt
Filed under: uncultured bacterium
Lineage: Bacteria
Description: bacterial SSU rRNA
Rfam family: Bacterial small subunit ribosomal RNA
Source: RNAcentral